GAAAAGCAGCUACUCUACAGAAACGUGAAAGCUCUUGAUAUAUUUUAAGGCUCCGUUUGGAUUGAUUCACACACGAGCUCGCGCAUUACGUAACAGCAAAAAGACAGAGGGCAGGUUACCGGAUUAAGAGCUGCCUAUUUGCAUUUAAAUUUGUGCUAUUAAAGGGCGAAGUGCUGGAGGAGGCCUGUAAGUGAAAACAGUCAUUUGGAGAUGAGGUGCUCGGCUUAAAUAAUAUAUUUGCAAGUAUGUGACGAUAAGUGAACAAAUGUUUAUAACACUGAACAUGUGAGAAAGAGAAACAAUUAAGGCGUUAGUUGUGUGUUCGCGCGCGCGUGUGCGUAACUGUCUUUUCAUUCACUCAUCAGCUUUAAUGUCCUCAAGAAACUAUUAUUUUCUUCCCAUAUCUCAGACAUGUAGUGGCCUCCCCUAUUUGAAUGCCUACACAUGAUAAAUUCCUGCAUUACACACACAUUACACACACACUGCACACACACACUGCUCACACAGUGAGCCAAUGCGUUUUGUCAGGAAAACCUUGAGCGUGUUUUCUGCGCACAGUCUCUCACCAUGGAUCAUCCCUGAUCCUGUGCUGUGAGGCGCUCACUGGGGGGGUUUGGAGUCUGCGGGCCUAAAUGACCUUUACGAUUUUACGAAACGCGCUCUCCGACACUCCCUCACAUUCUGCUGAGAGUCAUCAAUUAUGCAGGAAAACCGCUCGCGCUGAGGGGGAAGGUAGCAGCAACAAUAUGGCGACAACCGCAGUUUCUCCCCAAGCUUUUUCACAUCUGCAGUCCUGCAACGGCUCUCUGGAUUCAUUGUAACGCUUACGAAAGCUGCUACCGUGGAUGGUACAAACCUAAAGACUAAGUAGCUGCAGGAUGAAAACAUGGCCGCACCCCUUCUUGCACCGCCAGGACCUGACAGCUUCAGGAAGUUUACUCCAGAAUCUUUGGCGGUCCUUGAGCUGCGCAUCCAAGAGGAGAAGAACAAAAAGCCACCCAAGCAGGACAGCAGCUACCGUGACGACGAUGACGAGAACAAGCCCAAACCCAACAGUGACCUGGAGGCUGGGAAGAGCCUGCCCUACAUCUAUGGGGACAUCCCUAAGGGAAUGGCGGCGGUACCACUGGAGGAUCUGGACCCAUUCUACGUGAAUUCUCAAAAAGUGAGUAUUCACACACACACACACACACACA
This is a long non-coding RNA of Haplochromis burtoni (Burton's mouthbrooder), 1196 nucleotides long. RefSeq lists it as uncharacterized. The record is from RefSeq and is a predicted model, not a curated record. The transcript has 2 exons. Lineage: Eukaryota; Metazoa; Chordata; Actinopteri; Cichliformes; Cichlidae.